GUAGGUGGCAAGCGUUGUCCGGAAUUAUUGGGCGUAAAGCGCGCGCAGGCGGUUCUUUAAGUCUGAUGUGAAAGCCCACGGCUCAACCGUGGAGGGUCAUUGGAAACUGGAGAACUUGAGUACAGAAGAGGAAAGCGGAAUUCCACGUGUAGCGGUGAAAUGCGUAGAGAUGUGGAGGAACACCAGUGGCGAAGGCGGCUUUCUGGUCUGUAACUGACGCUGAGGCGCGAAAGCGUGGGGAGCAAACAGGAUUAGAUACCCUGGUAGUCCACGCCGUAAACGAUGAGUGCUAAGUGUUAGGGGGGUUUCCGCCCCCUUAGUGCUGCAGCUAACGCAUUAAGCACUCCGCCUGGGAGUACGACCGCAAGGUUG
RNAcentral lists this ribosomal RNA (372 nucleotides) under uncultured organism. RNAcentral's name for it is "partial 16S ribosomal RNA". It matches the Rfam family "Bacterial small subunit ribosomal RNA", at positions 527 to 896 of the family's 1533-position model. The record is from RNAcentral.